RNAcentral lists this long non-coding RNA (210 nucleotides) under Elaeis guineensis (African oil palm). Its description in RNAcentral is "long non-coding RNA (EGUI_LNC031334)". Lineage: Eukaryota; Viridiplantae; Streptophyta; Magnoliopsida; Arecales; Arecaceae. The record is from RNAcentral.
CCUAGCCACCACUCAAACCUCUAUAUAGACUCUCGCUUUUCUCUCUCUACCUAUUGUCAUUCAGAAUCUCCUUUGUUCUACCAAGGAAGACUGAUAGGUAACAGAGGAUCCUUCUUUGGUAAACCCCCGACAAGAGAAUUUCCUCAGAUUGUGAUAUUUUAGGGUACUCUUAGAGGAAAGAUCGAAGACCUGGCCAUCGAUAGUUCCACC